This 772-nucleotide long non-coding RNA is filed under the name Callithrix jacchus (white-tufted-ear marmoset). Its description in RNAcentral is "lncRNA (ENSCJAG00000079758.1)". Lineage: Eukaryota; Metazoa; Chordata; Mammalia; Primates; Cebidae. The record is from RNAcentral.
AAAACUUUUCUCUUACUAGAACCAAGUCAACAAGAGCCACCCUUGGACUCUGGAUGCCUGGGAGGCUCUGGAUCUGCGGGGCAGAGGAGAAGGUGGAGCCCUCAUCUCACUUCAUGCUUCAAAGCCUGCUUUCCAUCUCUGAAGCUAGAAUGUUCCUGAUGCACACAUGUGGGUCUAGGGUGCCUGCCUUAGCGACACACUGCAUGAGUGGUGUGGUCCAAGAUGACUGAUUUUAAAAAGAGCCGCGCCUCCCGAUGCCGACGAUCUCACGGUGAGAAUGUGCCGACGGAGCCGAUGGCAGUCUUCAGGCAGAGUUCCCGUGACUCUGUGCUGAGGUUUCCACGUGGACCCUGAAUUACUUGAAAUGCAGCCACCUGAACUGACAAGGAUGCAACAGCAGUUCCAUGGAGAAAUAAGCUGCGUUUUCCAGGCUCUGUCUAACAUCCUCACGGAGACUCCAAGCCCGUUCCUCCUGCGUUGGAUUCUCGUCGCCUCGGUCUCUUGGUCCCGAGAUGGCGGUGAUGAUUGUGAUGUAUUGAUCACUGACUGUUAUGAUGGUAACGCUGUUGCAUUUGUGCCAACUGUGGUCGAAGCCGCUUACAUAUUGUUAUGCCUUACAACACAUUCCAUGCUCAUAUUUGUCCAUGAGGGACGUGUCAUUUUUCCUCAUCUACAGAUGGGAAAACUGAGGCAUAGAGCGACUCAGCAACUUGUCCGAAGUCACAGAGCUGGUCGUUGUAGAUGCGGGAGCGAAGCUUGGGCAAGCACCUAG